RNAcentral lists this microRNA (21 nucleotides) under Glycine max (soybean). RNAcentral's name for it is "gma-miR5775". Lineage: Eukaryota; Viridiplantae; Streptophyta; Magnoliopsida; Fabales; Fabaceae. The record is from miRBase by way of RNAcentral.
AUAAGCUCUUUUGAGAGCUUC